This 406-nucleotide ribosomal RNA is filed under the name Pelophylax porosus brevipodus (dharma pond frog). RNAcentral's name for it is "partial 12S rRNA". Lineage: Eukaryota; Metazoa; Chordata; Amphibia; Anura; Ranidae. The record is from RNAcentral.
AUAAAGGUUUGGUCCUAGCCUUACUAUCAACUGUUUCUCAAUUUACACAUGCAAGUCUCAGCACGCCCGUGAGAACGCCCUUUCAACCUUUACCAGGCCAAGGAGCUGGCAUCAGGCUCAACCUUCUGCCCAUAACGCCUAGUCUCACCACACCCCCAAGGGUAUUCAGCAGUGAUAAAUCUUGCGUAUAAGCGACAGCUUGACUCAGUUAGAGAAAAGAGGGCCGGCUAACCCGGUGCCAGCCGCCGCGGCUACACCGUGGGGCCCGAGCUGAUAGCCAUCGGCGUUAAGCGUGAUUAAAGUUCCCACCAACUAGGAUUAAAUUAACACUUAGUAGUGAUAAGCUUGCUGUUAAGAAAAUCAUAAACGAAAGUUAUCCUAAUUAUGCUUGAAUACACGACAACUA